GCCUGGGUAGCUCAGUUGGUAGAGUAACAGACUUUCAUCUGAGGAUCCAGGGCUUAAGUCCCUGUCCAGGCA
RNAcentral lists this transfer RNA (72 nucleotides) under Chlorocebus sabaeus (green monkey). It matches the Rfam family "tRNA". Rfam says of the family: Transfer RNA (tRNA) molecules are approximately 80 nucleotides in length. Lineage: Eukaryota; Metazoa; Chordata; Mammalia; Primates; Cercopithecidae. The record is from Rfam by way of RNAcentral.